GCAGAGAGUACUAAGAGAUUGGAUCAGAUGAAAGCAUCUUGCUUGAUAUUGGAUGGAGAAAGUGGAGAAAAGAAUGCCUCCCAUUCGUUUGCUGUAAUUCUGCCUGGGCUAGGCAGUAUGACCAUGUCCAUGUGUUUGUAGAAGAUU
Lemur catta (Ring-tailed lemur) is the source of this 147-nucleotide long non-coding RNA. RefSeq lists it as uncharacterized. Lineage: Eukaryota; Metazoa; Chordata; Mammalia; Primates; Lemuridae. The transcript has 3 exons. The record is from RefSeq and is a predicted model, not a curated record.